This 440-nucleotide ribosomal RNA is filed under the name uncultured Rhodospirillaceae bacterium. RNAcentral describes it as "bacterial SSU rRNA". It matches the Rfam family "Bacterial small subunit ribosomal RNA", at positions 338 to 795 of the family's 1533-position model. The record is from RNAcentral. Lineage: Bacteria; Pseudomonadati; Pseudomonadota; Alphaproteobacteria; Rhodospirillales; Rhodospirillaceae.
CCUACGGGGGGCUGCAGUGGGGAAUAUUGGACAAUGGGCGCAAGCCUGAUCCAGCCAUGCCGCGUGAGUGAAGAAGGCCUUCGGGUUGUAAAGCUCUUUUGGCGGGGACGAUGAUGACGGUACCCGCAGAAUAAGCCCCGGCUAACUUCGUGCCAGCAGCCGCGGUAAGACGAAGGGGGCUAGCGUUGUUCGGAAUUACUGGGCGUAAAGGGCGCGUAGGCGGUUUGUUAAGUCAGGCGUGAAAGCCCUGGGCUCAACCUGGGAUGUGCGCUUGAUACUGGCAGGCUUGAGUGCAGGAGAGGAUGGUGGAAUUCCCAGUGUAGAGGUGAAAUUCGUAGAUAUUGGGAAGAACACCGGUGGCGAAGGCGGCCAUCUGGACUGCAACUGACGCUGAGGCGCGAAAGCGUGGGGAGCAAACAGGAUUAGAUACCCCAGUAGUC